CACGUAGGGCGCAAGCGUUGUCCGGAAUUAUUGGGCGUAAAGAGCUCGUAGGCGGUCUGUUACGUCCGCUGUGAAAACCCGGGGCUUAACCCCUGGCUUGCAGUGGAUACGGACAGACUAGAGGUAGGUAGGGGAGAAUGGAAUUCCCGGUGUAGCGGUGAAAUGCGCAGAUAUCGGGAGGAACACCGGUGGCGAAGGCGGUUCUCUGGGCCGGUACUGACGCUGAGACGCGAAAGCGUGGGGAGCGAACAGG
This 253-nucleotide ribosomal RNA is filed under the name uncultured bacterium. RNAcentral describes it as "partial 16S ribosomal RNA". It matches the Rfam family "Bacterial small subunit ribosomal RNA", at positions 524 to 776 of the family's 1533-position model. The record is from RNAcentral.